AUGCAGAGGGUGCCCAGCACACAGCUUCUACUCUUCUCUUCUCCUCUCUUCCAAUAACUCUCGCAAGACCCGUGGAGCAUUGCCAUGGUAACCGGGUCUCGCGAGAGUUAUUAGAAGAGAGGAGAAGAGUAGAAGCUGUGUGCUGGGCCCCCUCUGCGG
Non-coding RNA from Pelobates cultripes (western spadefoot toad), 159 nucleotides. The record is from the annotation of a GenBank genome assembly. Lineage: Eukaryota; Metazoa; Chordata; Amphibia; Anura; Pelobatidae.